UACAGAGGUCCCAAGCGUUGUUCGGAUUCAUUGGGCGUAAAGGGUGUGUAGGUGGCGCCGUAAGUCGGGUGUGAAAUCUCGGGGCUUAACUCCGAAACUGCAUUCGAUACUGCGGUGCUUGAGGACUGGAGAGGAGACUGGAAUUCAUGGUGUAGCAGUGAAAUGCGUAGAGAUCAUGAGGAAGACCAGUGGCGAAGGCGGGUCUCUGGACAGUUCCUGACGCUGAGGCACGAAGGCCAGGGGAGCAAACGGG
Molecule: ribosomal RNA, 253 nt
Filed under: uncultured bacterium
Lineage: Bacteria
Description: partial 16S ribosomal RNA
Rfam family: Bacterial small subunit ribosomal RNA
Source: RNAcentral